CCCUUAGAUGUUCUGGGCCGCACGCGCGCUACACUGAUGCAUGCAACGAGUUCUAUCCUUGGCCGGAAGGCCUGGGUAAUCUGUGAACAUGCAUCGUGAUAGGGAUAGAUUAUUGCAAUUAUUAAUCUUGAACGAGGAAUUCCUAGUAAACGCAAGUCAUCAGCUUGCAUUGAUUACGUCCCUGCCCUUUGUACACACCGCCCGUCGCACCUACCGAUCGAAGGUAAUGAUGAGCCCUCAGGAUUGUGGCCUCGUCGCGUCAGCGUCUUGGCUGCGAGAAUCUGUGCAAAUCCCUACCUUUAGAGGAAGGUGAAGUCGUAACA
Molecule: ribosomal RNA, 323 nt
Filed under: uncultured eukaryote
Lineage: Eukaryota
Description: partial 18S ribosomal RNA
Rfam family: Eukaryotic small subunit ribosomal RNA
Source: RNAcentral